GACGAACGCUGGCGGCGUGCUUAACACAUGCAAGUCGAACGGUGAAAGAAGAGCUUGCUCUUCUGGAUCAGUGGCGAACGGGUGAGUAACACGUGAGUAACCUGCCCCUGACUCUGGAAUAAGCGCUGGAAACGGCGUCUAAUACCGGAUACGAGAUAGAGCUGCAUGGCUACUGUCUGGAAAGUUCUUCGGUCUGGGAUGGACUCGCGGCCUAUCAGCUUGUUGGUGAGGUAACGGCUCACCAAGGCAACGACGGGUAGCCGGCCUGAGAGGGCGACCGGCCACACUGGGACUGAGACACGGCCCAGACUCCUACGGGAGGCAGCAGUGGGGAAUAUUGCACAAUGGGCGAAAGCCUGAUGCAGCGACGCCGCGUGAGGGAUGACGGCCUUCGGGUUGUAAACCUCUUUCAGCAGGGAAGAAGCGAAAGUGACGGUACCUGCAGAAGAAGCACCGGCUAACUACGUG
Molecule: ribosomal RNA, 468 nt
Filed under: uncultured bacterium
Lineage: Bacteria
Description: partial 16S ribosomal RNA
Rfam family: Bacterial small subunit ribosomal RNA
Source: RNAcentral